This 253-nucleotide ribosomal RNA is filed under the name uncultured bacterium. RNAcentral describes it as "partial 16S ribosomal RNA". It matches the Rfam family "Bacterial small subunit ribosomal RNA", at positions 524 to 776 of the family's 1533-position model. The record is from RNAcentral.
UACGUAGGGUGCAAGCGUUGUCCGGAAUUAUUGGGCGUAAAGAGCUUGUAGGCGGUUUGUCGCGUCUGCUGUGAAAUUUCGGGGCUCAACCCCGAACUUGCAGUGGGUACGGGCAGACUAGAGUGUGGUAGGGGAGGCUGGAAUUCCUGGUGUAGCGGUGAAAUGCGCAGAUAUCAGGAGGAACACCGAUGGCGAAGGCAGGUCACUGGGCCAUAACUGACGCUGAGAAGCGAAAGCAUGGGGAGCGAACAGG